Ictalurus punctatus (channel catfish) is the source of this 8208-nucleotide long non-coding RNA. The record is from Ensembl. NCBI's taxonomy places the organism in Eukaryota, Metazoa, Chordata, Actinopteri, Siluriformes, Ictaluridae.
AUUUAUGAUUCCUAAUAGUGGUCAGUUUAAAAAAAAAAAGGACGUUCUGCAAUUUACACGGCAUUUAACAUUCCUGUGCCACAUAGUACAAUUGCAUUUUGUACUGGCCCUGCUGGUGACAUCGCUACUUAAUAAAAAUAAUGCAUGGCCAGAACUUAGUAAUGUGUGGGAAUUAUAUUAUUAAAUCGUAAACAUGAUGUAGUAAAGAAAGGGAAUGAGAUAAUUAUCUCGUAGCCAUGACUUAGUAAAGUAAGGGAGGGAGAUAAUUAAGACGUAGCCAUGAAUAUGUGAGGGAAUGAGAUAAUUAAGUUGCAGCCUUGACUUAGUAAAGUAAGGGAAUGAGUUCAAUAAAUCAUGGCCACUACUACAAAUGCAGGGGAAUGAGAUAAUCAAGUCAAAGCCAUGAGUUAGUAAAGUAAGGGGAUGAGUUCAAUAAAUCAUGGCCACUACUACAAAUGCAGGGGAAUGAGAUAAUCAAGUCAAAGCCAUGAGUUAGUAAAGUAAGCGGAUGAGAUAAUUAUCUCGUAGCCAUGACUUAGUAAAGUAAGGGAAUGAGAUAAUUAUCUCAUAGUCAUGACUUAGUAAAGUAAGGGAACAAGAUAAUUAUCUCGUAGCCAUGACUUAGUAAAGUAAGGGAAUGAGAUAAUUAUGUCGUAGCCAUGACUUAGUAAAGUGUGUAGGGGUAUAAGAUAAAUAAAUCAUGGUCACUACUUACUUAUGAAAAGGAACGAGAAAAUUAAGUUAUAGCCAUGACUUAAUAACGUUAGGGAACAAGAUUCUAAUGUGUGGCCACAAGUUAAUAACGCAAGGGACCGAGAUAAUUAAAUGCAGGGAUGAUCAUUGUGUUGUGCGCUCAAACUGGUAUGCAUGUACUGAAUAUACAGGGUUUUACAUUAACCACCAAACUCUUAACUACUGUUAUCUACUGUUACAUGCAGUAAUUAAUAAGAAAAUGUGCAUGUAAACAUCUCUAGUGUCUACACUACUAAACCAGACAAGUGGCAGCUUUUUUCCCCUCCAAGCAUGCAGCAGUUAUUGUAAAACCCUGUAUAUACAUGACUGUGUCCAGCAUAAUGAUCAUACAUUAUUAAGAUGUGGCCGUAAGUUAUGUUUAGUUGUGGCCACAACCUAAUGAUCGUGGCUAUGCAUUGUUUUUAUUAAGUAAGGAUGUCACAAGGGAGGGGCUCUGUAAUUUUGAAGUAAAUUUUUAUUGGCCUGGAACAUUGAACCUUGAGGAAUACCUACAAUAAUGAUUAAAGCCUUGAUUUCAUUUUCUUCAUAGUACUGUGCAUGUAGAAAUUCCACACUUUCAAAACGACGGACAGUGCGUGUCUAUCUAGGCACAAUUGAUGUAAUUGUACCUUUUAAGUGCUCAUGAUCUAAUUGAAACGUACCGUUUUAUUUUACUUUAUUUUAUUUACCCAGAAAGGCCACUAUCACUAUCGUUGGAACCAUGGUCCUGACUGGUGUACUUUUCUUUUUCUGAGCACAUAUGCUGAGGACUACAUGGCUAAAUUUAUUUGUUAGUGUUGAACACUUUGAUUUUGGGAUUUAAUGUUUACAAUUAAUGUAAAAAAAAAAAUUCACAAAUAUAGCUUAAAAUUGCAUUUUGAGGACAAAUUUAAUUGGCCCCAGUGGUGAACCCUGAGGUAUACCUAAGAAAAUUAUUCUUUUGUUUCUGUUUUUCUUCUUGGUACUGUGUGUGUAGAAAAUGUAUUGUUAAUUCUGACGAUAAAAAAAAAUGUAGAGGCCAACCAAACAUCUGUAAUUGUCUUAUUCCUGAAAUGAUUUUUAUUUCUACGACAUUUAAGUGGUCACAAAUAGUCACUUAUAAGAAACCGCUCCAAGGCUGAAAUCUCUGCAGACAAACAACCAAUAAUUUUUCUUUAACACCAUUCUCACGAUUGCCAUUGAAAUUAUUAUAUAUUUAUUUGAUUAAUUUUGUUUGCAUGGCCAAUUCAAGAUGUGCAGAUUUCUGUUAUAAAUACUGACAUUUGAAACACUGAUGUUGAUACACAGGUGCUGCCAUUUUGCUUUCGCUCUUUGCUGAAAAAGAAAAACACAACAAUGUGAAAAUUAUCACACUGUGACGGGUUCUGAGAGGUCUCCAGGCCAUCAAUAAAACAUUUUUACAACAGGGUGCACACACACACACACACACACACACACACAUACACACACACACACACACACACACACACACAAAUACACCACAUAUAGUAGCGUUUGUAUUUCAAUAGUAACUAGUUGUAAACUGUUCUGUUGUGUAUUCACUUUGAUUCGAUAGACUAGGAUGAGACGAAUGUGGUGCGCUGUGAUGUACUUUUUUUACAAUCUAUUUUCCAAAACACAACCUGUGUAUGUGUAUACAUAUAUACAUACAACCCCAGUUCCAAAAAAGCUGGGACGCUGUGUAAAAUGUAAAUUAAAAACGGAACGCAACGAUUUGCAAAUCUCAUAAACCCAUGUGUUAUUCACAAGAGCAUAGAAAACAUAUCAAAUGUGUAAACUGAGGAAAUGUAGCAUUUUAAGAAAAAAAAUAAGGUAAUUUUGAAUUUCAUGGCCGCAACACAUCUGUUAAAGGCUGGAAAAGUAAGUGUUAGUAAAAAGAAACAGCUGGAGAAACAUUUUGCAACUAAUUAGGUUAAUUGGGAGCAGGUGAUAAAGGUAUAAAAGGUAUCAAAAGAGUAUCUUAGAGAGGCAGAGUCUCUCAGAAGUAAAGAUGGGAUGGAAUCUGGAUGGAAGCAAUACAGUAUGUUGCUCUAAAACCUGUAUAUACCUUUCAGCAUUGCUGGUGCCUUUCCAGAUGUGCAAGCUGCCCAUUCCAUAGGCGCUAAUGCACUCCCAUACCAUCAGAGACGCAGGCUUUUGAACUGAGCGCUGAUUAAAAAGCCGGAUGGUCCCUCUCCUUUUUAGUCCUCUUUAGUUUAGUGGACGCAGUGUCCAUGGUUUCCAAAAAGAAAUUCAGAUUUCGAUUCAUCUGACCACAGAACAGUUUUCCACUUUGCCUCGGUCCAUUUUAAAUGAGCUUUGGCCCAGAGAAAACGGCAGUGUUUCUGGAUCAUGUUCACGUAUGGCUUCUUCUCUACAUGAUAGAGCUUUAUCCAGCAUUUGUGGAUGGCAUGGCGAACUGUGUUCACAGACAGUGAGGUCUGGAGGUGUUUCUGAGCCCAUGCAGUGAUUUCCAUUACAGAAUCAUGCAUGUUUUUAAUGCAGUGCUGCCUGAGGGCCCAAAGAUCACCGACAUGCGAUAUUGAUUUUCACCCUCGUCCCUCGCUCACAGACAUAUCUCCAGACUCUCGGAAUAUGUGAUGAUAUUAUGUACUACAGCCAAUGAGAGAUUCAUAGUCUUCACAAUUUUACGUUGAGGAACAUUAUUCUGAAAUUGUUCCACAAUCUGCAGUUUUUCGCAGACUGGUGAACCUCUGCCCAUCUUUACUUCUGAAAGACUCUGUCUCUCUAUGAUCCUCUUUUUAUACCCAAUCAUCUUACUGACCUGUUCCCAGUUAACCUCCAGCUGUUUCUAUUUACUAACACUUACUUUAACAGCCUUUUGUUGACCCCCACAACUAUUUUGAGCAAUGAAACUCAAAAGUACCAUAUUUUUUUCUUAAAAUGAUACAUUCCCUCAGUUUAAACAUUUGAUAUGUUUUCCCAUGUUCUGUUGUGAAUAACAUACGGGUUUAUGAGAUUUGCAAAUCAUUGCAUUCUGUUUUUAUUUACAUUUUACACAGCAUCACAAUUUUUUUUGGAAUUGGGAUUGUAUGUAUGUAUAUAUACAUACACACACACAUCUGGGUCAGAAACAGGGUUGAUCUUGGAUUUUUUUCCCAAAAUCUUCCAAAUCUCUUCUAAAUGGUGCCACAAAUCUGAUUCAUUCUGUGCUGACGAUGUGAAUCUGAAGAUUGAUUAAGUUUCAUUCAUAACAUCCUGUAAAAGUUAAGAGAUACAGUAUGUGUCGUGUGUCUGAAAACCCUGACACAAAUUUCUCCAAACAAACCUGAGAUUUAGUUCUUGGCUUUGCCACCUACCACAGUGUGUACAUUGGUGUUCAUUGGACAACGUUUGGCCUGUAUUUCUGUCCUCAGAAUAUGGGAAUUUUUACUCAAAAUGUCUUCACAAAUGAAUGACGGUGUCGUGGUUAACAUUGAAUGUCAUCUGAUGUGUGUGUGUUUUUAUUAUUAAUUAAUUACAUUAUUAAUUACAUUUAAACUCUAUGCUGCUUUAUAUUCAUUUCAAAGAAACGAGCAUCUGUUGCUUUUUCAGGCAUGAAUGAAAUAAAAAUUAGUUGUAAUCAUGCGGAAUUAAGCUGGUAUUAUUAAAAACACACAGGAACAAUUGCUUAAUUGUUUCUUCAAGUGCUUACUCAUGUUAUCUGGAAGGUACCAUUUGUUUUGGGUUCUUUUCUUUACCUGGAAAGGCCAUAGUUCCCUUCUCGACUGCUGGAGAAUCCAUGGUCCUGACCGAUUUACCUUUAAUAACACGAUUCCUUUUUUUCUCUUAUUCUUUUUCUGAGAGAGUACACUGAGGACUUGUUAGUGCUGUACUGUAGAGUUUGAUGCCGCAAUGCGAUUGGUACGAUUUUGGCUAAAUACUACAGCUAAACAAAGUGUCUUCUAAAUUCUAAAUGAUAAAUAAUACGUUUUACAGUCAAUUAUAAUAUACCUACAGAGGAUUUGCACCAUUACACAUAGAUUACAGAAAUACAUCUCAUGUCAUUACAUAAAAAGUGAGUCAGGUCAAUCGAUUCAGCUCACCAAUAAGAGUCGACUCCUUCAGCUCUUAAAUGACUCAUUGCUCAUUUGACCUGCGAUUGUUCCGUGAUAGUUCUUACACCGGCUGUGGCUGUGCUGAGACAUUCAAAGGUUUUAAAAUCUGACCGCCUCUAGUAAUACACCUGAAAAUAUUACACGGCAUUGCAAGAGUCUACAAAAAAAGUCUCAUAUACUGUAUGCGAGUCGACCCUCAACGUUCACGUAAAAGAGUCGACUCAAAGAGCCAACUCUCAUAAAUGACACGUCACUAAAUUACUCCAGUGCAUCAUGUUAAAUUAUGAAUUUGUAUAAGUACAGUAAUGUAUCUUGACGUUUAAAUGUCACCACAGUUUUAUUUAUUUUGUUUGAAAGUACUGUUGUAAUUUUGAGGUCAAAAACAAACAGCAAUACAGACAGCACUAAUCAGUGGUACAUAAUUCCAUUGUACAUUAUUAUUUAUUUAUUUAUUUGCUUAUCUAUUUAUUUAUUUAUUUAUUUAUUUAUUUAAAUCUUCAACCAUCACGAUCUCACAAUAAAACACCUAUGAGUACAGACCGGAGGUGGGGACUCUUCUAAACGUAGGUGUGCGGUUGUACUGUGAACGUAAGAACGUAAAAUUGAACUGAUUUCUUGGGAAAAUGCUCUCUCUCUCUCACUCACACACACACACACACUCUUUCUGUGCUGUCAGUGAGCCAUUCUGUUCAAGAUUGUAAGAAUUGUGAGAAUCCGACGGCAUUUUUCAUUACCUUGUUAAGAUCAAAUUAAUAUACAGACACAUAAGGGGACAAUUUAAAAAAAAAAAAAAAAGUCAAGGUACUGAAAAAAACCAGCAUCACGAACCGCUGUUGGCACUCGACAUUUUAAAGGUACUCUGUGUAUAAAUAAAUAUAUGUGUGUGGUUGAAAAUAAACACUUCCUUUGACCCUGGAAUUGAGGAUUUCCUUUCUUGAGUUUGUGUCCACCCUGAAUGACUUGCAUAUGAAAUAUUAUAUCAUUGAAUGGCAUCCAAUAUUUGUUUUGCAUUUGUUAAUGUUUUCCUACAUUACCCACAAUGCUGUACUGAGAGUGGUGCAGUGGGAUUUGGCCCUCGCUUUGCCUAAAGAGAGUGAUGCAGCAGUGCUUUAGUCCUUUAGUCUGUCCAGUUUUUCUCACCUCCUCAUUUGUACACUCAAACAGAUUCAACUCCUGUUCCAAUUUGCAUGCUAAUACCAUUAUAUCAAAUACAAUGCCACUAAUGAAGGUUUGGUUAUGAAUAAUAUCUGCUCUUUUUAUCAGCACCUAAAAUAGAAUAAAAAAAAAACCCCAAAAUCCAUUUAUUCAUACCAAUUUGACCUUUUAGUUAUUAUUCCUUGGUGUUCACUUUUGUUUCCCCUCCAUGCUAUGAUAAUGAGGAUGUUUUAAAUGUAAAUUGGUCUUGUUCUUUUGGUUUAAUUAGCUCUUGGGAUAAAUCGAGGGGAAAUGAUUCAGACCAGCUGUUACUCUUGAAGUGAACUCAAAAAUAUGGUGCUGUAAUUACAGCAUCAUCUAAAUGCCUGUUAGACUAAUGCUGCCUUUCUGCUCCCUGUAUUAUUCAUCAUACAGAAACUCACCACAAACUCGCUGCAUGGCUUCUGUUCACGAAAUGUACUUAUCGGUUUAAUCAAAAACGGAUUUGUAUGCCCACAAAUAAUAGUCCCAGAAAAUAUAACGUAUGAUUUAAAACUACAUAUAUUUAAAUGGCAAUAUAAUUCACAGUCAGAGCUGUGUUGAGGUGGUUCGGAUCAGAAUUGGUUGGAAAUUUGAACGCACGUGUCAUACGCCAGCUCAGAUACAUCAAACGGCAUCACAACCCAACUUCAGGCAUGAAAGAAGUCUGGCUACACAGUGACUGGCAGGAGCCACAGCCAAUCAGGAGAGAGACAGUGACAGUGACACUUUCUUGCUGAACAGGUAAUGGAUUUAUUUCUUCUCUAAUUUGGUGGAGAGUGAGCAAAUUAUAGAUGACAUUCAGCUGACUUAUCCUUAUUGUGGAGUUUGUAUUAUUGCUUAGUUUAGCUAGUUAAAUAUCAUGCUAGUACUACAUGGGCUUUUGACAGACUCGAGCAUGAAAUACAGAAAAAGCACAGAUCAGGUAGUUAAAAAAAAACACAAAUCAGCUACAACCAAGAUUUAUAAUUUUGGUCAGUAUAGUAUAUUUUUGCUAGCUAGGUUGGGGUUGUGUGGUGUUUUCAUGAGCACUCCUUCUUGAUCAGGCAUUCGCUGUUUGGGCUAACCAGUUGAUGGCAUCUAAAAAACAAGUCCUUAUUAAGUGGUUUAUGCAAUUUGUGUAAUUACUACUGUAUUUAGGUAUACUAUACUACUAUGUGUGCCUUAUGCACUUUGGCACAAAUGGAAGAACACAGCAUAACUGAUAUUAUGUCAAAUGUUUGUCCAUAAGACAGUUGCAAUAACAUUUUUGACCAGAGAGGGCGACGUUCCAAAAUCUCACCUCUGGUAGCUUUAAACAAGGCUUGUUUAUGUACUUGAUUGCAUUUUCGGGCCCAAGUAAGCCGAAGCAUAUAGGAUGCCUGCCCAUGGCUCCUUCUUUCAACUACCAAAAAUCCCUUCCCAUGGUUUUAACGAAGCCUUAAUUUGAAUCGUUCUGUUGCCUCCAGCAGGAUGCCGCCAUCUUUUGAGACGUUUCCCAUUGAAAAACAGAAAGACAACAGAACCCGAGCCAAAGAAUACAUGACAAAGGACUAUCCUUGCACAAAUAAUAUGCCAUUAUGUACACUUUGGUUUGUGUUCUUUGGAUCAAGCGUGGCGUGAAAAUAUUCCUGGAUCCUUUCCCGUCUGUAGCAGCCCAGAGGGGAACUCGCAGGCCGAUCAUUCGCUGUCAGGCUGUUCUAAGCCUAUUAUCUGAGAGUGAAAAGGUGCAGAGAGAGGGGUUUUUUUUUAGACGAUGCAUUCCUCAGGUCCUGAACAGGCAGUGUGAAAACAAGCUCUUCUCUGGGUUCUUGGAUGAAAAGACAACUGGUCCUCUUUUAGACUUAUUUGGAGGAAGCACCAAAGCUUUUUUCAGGUCUGGAGAGGAGUGGGAGAAUCUCUUAGUGGCCUACAAUACUAUAUUUACUGUACUGAUAUAGAUCAAAUUAGAGGUGAGUGCAGAACCGUUUUUUCUUUAUUUAAUUCCGCCUACAGAAAGUCUAACCAAUCCUGCCAACUCCUACAGAAAGUCUGACCAAUCCCGCCCACUCCUACAGAAAGUCUGACAAGUCCUGCCCACUUCUACAGAAAGUUUGACCUAUUUUGUCCAAUCCUACAGAAGGUCUGACAAGUCUUGCCCACUUCUACAGAAAGUUUGACCUAUUUUGUCCAAUCCUGCCCACUCCUACAGCAAGUCUGACCAAUCCCGCCCACUCUUACAGAAAGUCUGACAAAUCCUGCCCACUCCUACGGAAAGUCUGACCAAUCCCGCCCACUCUUACAGAAA